This 393-nucleotide long non-coding RNA is filed under the name Anas platyrhynchos platyrhynchos (common mallard). Its description in RNAcentral is "lncRNA (ENSAPLG00000020656.1)". The record is from RNAcentral. Lineage: Eukaryota; Metazoa; Chordata; Aves; Anseriformes; Anatidae.
AUGCCUGCCAGUGGAAAUUGGAAGCGCAAGAUGCUGAGACUGUGCUGGAAGGAAGUGAUCUCUGAAGUGAGGGGAGACGGACUGCUAAUUCCAACAACAAACUUCCACCUGCUGUCAAGAAUGAUUAUGGAUCGGAGGGGAGCAAGCUGUUUAAAAACCUGCACCAGGCAGUUCUUGGAAACAGCUACCUGGGUGGAGAUGCUUUUUCAUCAAAAGAAAACCCAGGAAACGUUUGCACAGAUGUGGUUGACACAGGAGGUCAGGAUCUCAUUUCGUAUGUCACUGAUAAUCUUAGCUGAGAUAAUUGCGUACAUAUGGCUGUCUAAACAUGAAGUCAACAGGAAAGUAUCCAGCUACCAGCUACAUGUGGUAGUACGAGUAAAUCAGAUUUAA